Molecule: ribosomal RNA, 484 nt
Filed under: uncultured bacterium
Lineage: Bacteria
Description: partial 16S ribosomal RNA
Rfam family: Bacterial small subunit ribosomal RNA
Source: RNAcentral
AUUGAACGCUGGCGGCAGGCCUAACACAUGCAAGUCGAGCGGAUGAAGGGAGCUUGCUCCUGGAUUCAGCGGCGGACGGGUGAGUAAUGCCUAGGAAUCUGCCUGGUAGUGGGGGAUAACGUCCGGAAACGGGCGCUAAUACCGCAUACGUCCUGUGGGAGAAAGUGGGGGAUCUUCGGACCUCACGCUAUCAGAUGAGCCUAGGUCGGAUUAGCUAGUUGGUGGGGUAAAGGCCUACCAAGGCGACGAUCCGUAACUGGUCUGAGAGGAUGAUCCGUCACACGGGAAGUGAGGAAGGGCACCGACACCGACGGGAGGCAGCAGUGGGGAAUAUUGGACAAUGGGCGAAAGCCUGAUCCAGCCAAGCCGCGUGUGUGAAGAAGGUCUUCGGAUUGUAAAGCACUUUAAGUUGGGAGGAAGGGCAGUAAGUUAAUACCUUGCUGUUUUGACGUUACCAACAGAAUAAGCACCGGCUAACUUCGUG